RNAcentral lists this transfer RNA (83 nucleotides) under Longimicrobiales bacterium. RNAcentral's name for it is "tRNA-Leu". It matches the Rfam family "tRNA". From Rfam's summary of the family: Transfer RNA (tRNA) molecules are approximately 80 nucleotides in length. Their secondary structure includes four short double-helical elements and three loops (D, anti-codon, and T loops). Further hydrogen bonds mediate the characteristic L-shaped molecular structure. tRNAs have two regions of fundamental functional importance: the anti-codon, which is responsible for specific mRNA codon recognition, and the 3' end, to which the tRNAs corresponding amino acid is attached (by aminoacyl-tRNA synthetases). tRNAs cope with the degeneracy of the genetic code in two manners: having more than one tRNA (with a specific anti-codon) for a particular amino acid; and 'wobble' base-pairing, i.e. permitting non-standard base-pairing at the 3rd anti-codon position. The record is from RNAcentral. Lineage: Bacteria; Pseudomonadati; Gemmatimonadota; Longimicrobiia; Longimicrobiales.
GCCGGGGUGGCGAAAUGGUAUACGCAGGGGACUUAAAAUCCCCCGGGAGAAAUCCCAUGCGGGUUCGAGUCCCGCCCUCGGCA